Molecule: long non-coding RNA, 448 nt
Organism: Perca fluviatilis (European perch)
Lineage: Eukaryota; Metazoa; Chordata; Actinopteri; Perciformes; Percidae
Exons: 4
Source: RefSeq, a predicted model, not a curated record
ACAUGCGAACAUGAUUUACUCAAGAGAAUACAGUGGAAAAUUGAACAUGUACCGAAAAAAACUCCGCAUGUCCGUGCAUAUAUUUUAAUGUCAUAACGUGUUUGGACUGAAUAUUUUACCGGAUUUGAUCGUGUGGACCUUUGUCAAUGUAAGGAGACUGUUUUGUCGAUCAGUGGAUUAAUGAGGCUUCAAAGGUAUCUGCAAACGCUUCAGAGGAGCCAGAUUCACCUGAGGAGGAGGAGGAGGAUGAUGUGUACAGAACAUGAAGAAACGACUGCAUCAGCAAAAGCCGCGCUGGUGUGAGUUGCAGUCAGGUGUCUCCGUUGUGGUCUCAUGUGUUGACGGCACACUGUGGUGAUUUAUUCAGCUGCUUUACUGAUACUGUAGAGAGGGGAACGACGUGCAACACGGGCCUCCGUCUGGACUUGAACCAGGGAUGUUGUGGGUA